GACGAACGCUGGCGGCGUGCUUAACACAUGCAAGUCGAACGGAAAGGCCCUGCUUUUGUGGGGUGCUCGAGUGGCGAACGGGUGAGUAACACGUGAGUAACCUGCCCUUGACUUUGGGAUAACUUCAGGAAACUGGGGCUAAUACCGGAUAGGAGCUCCUGCUGCAUGGUGGGGGUUGGAAAGUUUCGGCGGUUGGGGAUGGACUCGCGGCUUAUCAGCUUGUUGGUGGGGUAGUGGCAUACCAAGGCUUUGACGGGUAGCCGGCCUGAGAGGGUCACCGGCCAAAUUGGGACUGAGAUACGGCCCAGACUCCUACGGGAGGCAGGAGUGGGGAAUAUUGCACAAUGGGCGGAAGCCUGAUGCAGCAACGCCGCGUGCGGGAUGACGGCCUUCGGGUUGUAAACCGCUUUCGCCUGUGACGAAGCGUGAGUGACGGUAAUGGGUAAAGAAGCACCGGCUAACUACGUG
This 468-nucleotide ribosomal RNA is filed under the name uncultured bacterium. RNAcentral's name for it is "partial 16S ribosomal RNA". It matches the Rfam family "Bacterial small subunit ribosomal RNA", at positions 28 to 507 of the family's 1533-position model. The record is from RNAcentral.